This 496-nucleotide ribosomal RNA is filed under the name uncultured bacterium. Its description in RNAcentral is "partial 16S ribosomal RNA". It matches the Rfam family "Bacterial small subunit ribosomal RNA", at positions 28 to 506 of the family's 1533-position model. The record is from RNAcentral.
GAUGAACGCUGGCGGCGUGCCUAAUACAUGCAAGUAGAACGCUGAAGCUUGGUGCUUGCACCGAGCGGAUGAGUUGCGAACGGGUGAGUAACGCGUAGGUAACCUGCCUCUUAGCGGGGGAUAACUAUUGGAAACGAUAGCUAAUACCGCAUAAAAGUCGAUAUCGCAUGAUAUUGAUUUGAAAGGUGCAAAUGCAUCACUAAGAGAUGGACCUGCGUUGUAUUAGCUAGUUGGUGAGGUAACGGCUCACCAAGGCGACGAUACAUAGCCGACCUGAGAGGGUGAUCGGCCACACUGGGACUGAGACACGGCCCAGACUCCUACGGGAGGCAGCAGUAGGGAAUCUUCGGCAAUGGGGGCAACCCUGACCGAGCAACGCCGCGUGAGUGAAGAAGGUUUUCGGAUCGUAAAGCUCUGUUGUAAGAGAAGAACGAGUGUGAGAGUGGAAAGUGCACACUGUGACGGUAACUUACCAGAAAGGGACGGCUAACUACGU